CUGGGAUUGCAGAUGUGAGCCACCGCACCUGGCCAAGUUAUCUUUAAUUUCUACAUUGUGUAUUGUGUAUCAGCUGUUUGAAAUGAUGAACCUGAGUCCACAAUUUUUUUAGAAGAUGCUGUUAACUAUCUUAAUAAUGGCAGCAUUCCUGAGGUUGUGAAAAUGACUUUACUGAACAGGAAGCAUGUUUUCCUUAUAGACAAAUAGCACGAAUUCAUAUUACUUAUAAAAGAUACUGCCUCUUGAAAUUAGCACUUUGAAUUUCACCUUUUCGUCUAGAUAUUUCCACUGGUAACAAAAUUUCCCUGGAAGUCAGUGUUUGGAGUUAUAAGAUCAAUUUGUGACCCAAAAAUAUAAACGGUCUACCUUUUAUCCUGUUUGUGAUGAGUGAAAGGCAAAAGUAAACAGAAAAAAGAAACCUGAUAUGACUUCACUCUUGAAAUAUUGUGCAAUGAUUUUCUGAAGGUAAGUAGCAGGCUUUGUAUCUUGAGAACCUAACGAAGUUAAACAGCAGUCCUCACUCUGGGCACAGAAGUCACAGCUUACAGUACUGGAAUGAGGCCCAGGAUGAUGUCAUCCUGGGCAGAGACCUUAUCCGUAACCCCACAGUGCAUUUGUAUUAGGCAGUGAUGUCUCUGUCACCAGGAACUUCACUGAGCCUUCCUGAAGCUCUCAAGCAUGUCAUAGAAAUAUUGUCCAUCUCAAAAUUUGCCCUAGAAAGGAACCAGGAAGUUUUCCUUUUUGAAAGUUCUUGAGAUGAUAUAUGUCUUGAGUCUUGUGGGGAUUCAUUCAAAUCCCUGGAGCUGGCAUAAAGAUUUUUGAAGUGAGAACAUUUGAGCUAAAGAAGAUACAGAAAAAAGUGUUAUCUCGACUGCACUUACCUGACUAAAGCAGGGCCUCCCGAAAAUACUGCUGCCAUUAACCCCCAUCUGAGGGGGUUUCCUGGAAUUUCGCUGCCAGGGAGACAGAGUGUCCAUUGCUAUUAGCAUCAAAAACCUCAACAGAACCUUCCAUACCUUCUUAUUGAAGCCCUAACCCCUCUACCCUUUGUUAAAUUUUGUAUAUGAACCCUUUAAUCUCAGGCUAUUGAGUGAGUUAUUAUCUCUGAGAACUCCUGUGUAUGUGUAAAUCGCCUAUCUUUUCUCCUGUUAAUCUGUCUAUUGUCAGUUAACUCAUGGGCCUUCAACCACUGGAACUAAAUUGGAUGAGGAAAAGUUUUCUCCCAAUAAUUUUGGUGAUGAGGAUGGGAUGGCUGGGACUCUCUGCUCCUCCAGAAAGUGCAGCUAAGAUGUCAGGAUCUCUGACUAUGCUGACAAAGAUAAAUUUCUUAGCAGCCAGGUUCCCAGAUUUCUGCUCAGAAUCCCGUCAAGUGAGGAUGGUAAGACCAUCUUUCUGUCUUUUCUUCCCAAGAUUUAGAUUUCCGGGAGAAAACACUCAGAACUUAUACUUACUGUAUUGUGACUUGGUUUGAAUACUUUUUAAAAUAGAUCUUUUCCUUCCCAGGGAUAGCUCCUGUAUCCUUUCUGUCUCAUUUUGUGUCCUGAUAGUUUGGUUUGGAUUCAGUCAGAGUGCUCACUCUCUGGCUUUCUGCAUGCUGUGGGGUGCAGAUUGUCUGUUCUGUGCUCAGAAGCAGCCAAUUGUCAGGUUGGGGCUCAAGCAUUUGUAGUUGACUGAAGAGAAAUUUGGGUAUCCUGGGCAUCCCAUUUUCAGCUGGCACCGUGCCGACUGUUGCCAGUGCUAAGGGGGUUUGUCUAAGUUCUCUUUCCUAUUGUCUUGCUAGUGGAGAGAAGUCCCAUCUCAGUAUUACCUGCCCAGAGUCAUGGAUUCGCAGGUACAUGAUCAAAGUCAUAUCAUUUUUAUGGGCAACUGGAGACAGGAGUUUUCACAAGUAUCAUUCUUACUGCCUAUAGCAAUGAUGAUCUUUGCUUUCCUUCUCUUUGGCUGUCUUUGGAGUUGAUUUUGGAUCAUGGGAGCUGCAUCUUCUGCACCCUCUAUGGGGGUGUUUCCUGUGUCCACGAUUAAGCCGUAAAAUAUGUUUAUUCAUUAUGAGUCACAUUUUGGAAAAAGUGUACCUUUGGAGAUACUAAAUCAUCAAUGGCCACACAGCAGAUCCUUUGAUUUGGAACAACUUUUAAAUUUGAGAGGAUUUUCAGAAAGCUCUCAUCCUAAACAAAUGUCCUGUUACCAAUAUGGGAGGAUCAGAAUGAAAGGACAUUUAAAAAAAAAAAAAAAAGUAUCACAGCUAGCCUAAAAGACUCCCUUAACAAAACUAAAGAACAGAAAUCAGAUCUAGAACAAAAAUUGAAAUUCACACUCACCAUAAACUCUCCCCGUCCCCUGCACCACUAUCUUCCUCCUGCAAAUGGCCCAGUUGGAGGCUGAUAUUCAGGGCCUGAGAGGAGCUAUUAAAGAUGUUUUCCCUUCCGUCUUCCCUCCCACUCUGAAGGUUAAUUGGGCUAAAGUGGAGCAAUGUACUCAGAGGAAAGGAAUACAUCCUAAAGUCUUUGUUGAAUGACUUAUAAAAACAUUCCAAAGACACAUAGCUCUAAAUCCAGAGUCCUGGAUCAUUGAAAAUCUCUUGGUUUCCACCUUAGUUGGAAAUCUUAUCUCCAAUAUAAAGAAACAAAUUUAAAAAUAUUGUAGUUGGAUAGGUAGGCCAAUUCCUUAAUGCUAUUAUUGAGGCUAUCUGCUAUGGUAUGAAUGUUCGUUCCUUCCAAAACUCAUGUUGAAAUGUAAUUGCCAUUGUAACAGUAUUAAGAGUUAGGACCUUUAAGAGAUAAUUAGGCCAUCAUGGGUGGUAUUGGUCCCCUUAUAAAAGCAUGAGUAUGACCCCCUCUUGUCCUCUCUCUUGCUUUUGCACCUUCCACCACGGGAUAAUGCAGCAAGAAGGUCCUUGUCAGAUGCCAGCAGCAUGAUGUUGGACUUCCCAGCCUCCAGAACUGUGUGACGAUACAUUUCUGUUUAUUAUUAAUUACUCACUUAUAAAACCACCUUUGCAAAAUUAUAAUGGUGAGAAAAUUGUGACAGUGAAAGAGAUCAGACCUAACUGACUCCAUCUUGCCUUUAACCUCCAAACUGCCCUUGUUCAUUCCUGGGCAUAGGCCAAGUUAACUAUAGGAGGAAUUAGUUUAUAGGUUAACUUUGAAACAAAGAUGAUAACAGCUCUUUCCUGAAGCAAAUCUUCUUCUUGACUGGGGACCAGACCACCUUCUUAAAACUAACAAAUUAGCCACAAGAUUCGAAAUUAUAGUUCAGGAUAUGAUGCAGCCAAGAUUCCUAACCUCCCCAGUUGCUCUUAUGGAUAAGAGAACUAUUGUAAAACCUAAGAUUAGUGUUCCAGAUAUCUCUCAGACCCUGCAUUCUGAUGGACCAGCUGGUGCCACCCAGACUGGUAAUCUGGCUCAACCAGUUCUGCGAUCCCACCCAGAAACAGAAGACAGCAAGAAGAACCCACUUGGAUCCCCCUAUAAUUUCAUCUCUGACCCAACCAAUCAGCACUCCCCACUCCCUAGCCCCUUACCCAUCAAAUUAUCCUUAAAAAACCCUAGUCUCUGAAUUUUCAGGGAGAUUGAUUUGGGUAAUAAAACUCAUGUUUCCCAUUUGGUUAGCUGUGUGUGCAUUAAACCCUUUUUCCUUUGCAAUUAUCCUGUCUUGAUAAAUCAUCACUAUUUGAGCAGGAGGUAAGAAGAACCCUUUGGGCAGUUACAGUCUCGGAUAUUGUUAUAGCAACACAAAAUAGACUAACACACUGUCCCCUAAUUCUUUGAAGAAUUAAAAAUACUGCCCUCACCUUACUAAUUAAGUCUUUACAAAGACAGUAAUAGGGCUCUAAGGAUAACCCAAAGCCCACCUAUAUUUCUUAUCAAUCCCAAAGCCUCUCCUAUUUAUCUCAUGAUGCUUGCUGAUACUUUAAAGAAGUCAGGACAUUAGAAAAGGGAAGAAUUAUCCAAUGAGAAGAUAUACUUAACCUUCCCUAUGUUAUAUUUGUAUGGGUAAAUGCUAUGAAUAUAAGUACAUCAGAAAGUAUAUGAGUUAAAACGCUUAUUGUCCAUAUGUCCUAAUAUAAUGUUAGUAGUCAUAAUUCCAGUUACUAUCUUAAAUGUUUUAUGUCAUCAGAACAACCACAUAUCCUUGUCAAUUGCAUUAUUUUUAUAACAAACUCUCAUCAAAUUUUUAGCCAUUGCCAUUUUGUCUUUUUUCGUUCACAGGGAGUUAUUGUUUUAUUCUGAUGCUUUCCUGAAAGCUCUUCCAAUCAGCUGUAAGGCAGAAUGCAUCAUCUUCAGAACAGGGAACAUUUUAGAGACCCAUAGAAAUGACUGGUUAUCCAAGGUAAAGGAUUCUGAUGGCUCUGCAUAAAUGACUUUGAGAUCAUACCACUGGACUGAGUAAGAAUUUCCAGAAUUCUAGUGGAGAGGCUGAUGGGUUCAUAAAACUGCUAACCCAAGAUAGAGCAGAACAAAAAUAAGUUAUCAUCUGGGACUGAAUGAACUGAUGAAGAUUGAUUAUAAUUUUUAUGGGUUUUAUUUUUGUUUGGAACAUUGCUGGUUCUUUAAUAUUCCAUUUUCUGAAUAUAAAGAAUUCCUUUCUCUUUUCUCUUAACCUAUUUAUAAUUGACAAUUUAGUAGAUUAUAUCUUAUAAACAAGAAUGAAACAUUUAUAUUUUUCUCCCUACCUAAUCCCUACAGAAUUCAGAAACUCAUAUUGAAUAUUCUUAUUUUUAUGGUGAUACAGUUUUUUGCACAGGUUCCAUAAGUAUCUAUUCUCCUUGUAACCGGACAUAAUUGAGGAAAUUAGUUAUAUCACCAAGGCUUUAACUGAAAUGUCGUAUUUGAGAAUGAUGUGCAUAGAAACAGACAUGACUAGGCAGUUUUAAGGAACUAAGGUUGACUUUGUGGAGCCAGUGUUCACAAAGCCCUCUUAGCAAAACUGACCUUGUACCUGGCUUACAGUGUCCCCCGCCUCACAGAUGAGUAAUGAAGAUCACUUCCUGGCAGGCCCAGGAGCUUUAGAAUGCUUUGGAUACCUCAACAGGAGAGGAUUUCACCCAAAUCUAUAGGUACUGCAGAUAAAGUUCUGAUGACAAGUUCUUGGCUUGGCCUCCUAGCCAAGAAAGGCUUUUAAAAGUCCAGUCUGAGAUUCCUUAUAAAACUUCCAGCAAAGCAAACUUUAAAAGGCCUGUGUGGUCAAUUACAAUUCUUGCUUCAUUUAUUACAUGAUCAGGACAUAUUUAACGAGGCUAGGCUUAUUUUGUAAAUAAGAGUAAUCUUACUUUAUCUUUUAUAAAAAUGGAGGUGAUUGAAGAGAGAAAUUUUAUGUUUCAAUGGAAAAUUAUAACACCCCUUGUGAGUUAGCAGAUUGUCGUUCUGUUGAUUGUCUUUGAGCUAUUUUUCAUCUCUUCUAAACUGGAUUCUACCAUCUUGCACAUUUUGUCAAUAAUUAACACUUUCAUUUUUCCCCCAUUCUCCUGACUUGUUAUCACUGAGAACUAGCACUGCCUAUUUCUUGAAGCUCUGAGUGCUGAAGCUGGACAACUUGAUAUAGCUUCAAAAGAUUGAUAACCACCACAACAAUGUGGGAUACCCAGCAAGUUUACCAGAACAUGUGCAUCUUCCAUGCCCUGCUCCAGCAAAUAACCAUUAUUGUGACAUUCUCACUACCAUCUUCACUCAAGAGGCUUCAGACUCAACAUCUAGAAAACUUCUCAACUGGACUGGCUGCCUUCUAUACUCAGAAAUUGGUUCUGCUCGGUUCCAACCUUUAAUCUUCAUUUUUCUGUCCCUUUGCAGAUCUCUUACCUCACAAUUUCCAACAUCAAUCACUCUCCACAGCAAUCAAACUCACUUUUUUUUUUUUUUUUGGUGAAAUGUCCAGAAUAGUUUCAGAUGAAGGACAUGUGGGGACCCACUUGGACCCCUAGACGUGAUAUAAAGAUAAUUUUUAAAUGAAAAUGUUGGAGCUAAAGAAGAUUCAAAAAGAAAUCUUAUCUGAAAUUCUCUUAUCUGAUUAAGUUAGAGUCUCCAGAAAAUACAGCUGCCACUAACCCUCCUCCUAGGAAGUGUCCUACAAAUUCAGCUGACAUGGAAAUAGACUGCCCGUUUCCACUAGCAUAAAAAAAAAGUCCAGUAGAACCUUCCAUACUUUCCCUAACCACUCUCCCUCCUUCUUGGUUAAGUUUGGUAUAUAACCUUUUUUCCUCUGGCUAAUGGGUGAGUUACUUAUUACUGAGUAUUCCUGCCUGUAAGUAUAAAUAAAUCAUGUCUUUUCUCCUCUUUUUUUGGAGGGGGGAGGGUGGGGGGUGGAGUUUCACUCUUGUCGCCCAGGCUGGAGUACAAUGGUGCGAUCUUGGCUCACUGCAACCUCUGCCUCCCGGGUUUAGGUUAUUCUCCUGACUCAGCCUCCCAAGAAGCUGGGAUUACAAGCAUGCACCACCACUCCCGGCUAAUUUUUUUUUUAUUUUUUGUAGAGAUGGGGUUUCACCAUGUUGGCCAGGCUGGUCUUGAACUCCUGACCUCAGGUGAUCCACCUGCCUAAGCCUCCCUGGGAUUACAGGUGUGAGCCACCAUGCCCAGCCAUCUUUUCUCCUCUUAAUCUGUCCAUCAUCACUUAAUUUGUGAACCCCCUACCACUGGAUUCAAGUUGCAAGAAGAAAAAUUUACCCCCCAAUAGUUUCCUCUCUGCUUACUGUCAGCAGCAUUCUCUGUCGUGACUACAAAAUUAUCUAUUCCUGUAUGUGUGUGUGCACACACGCAUGUGUGUAUUUACAGAGACCUGGCAGCCCAGUGGGUUGUGACUGAAUGCCUUUAGGAAUUUCCUUGGGGAAUCAAAGCUUAUUAAAGUAGAAACACUUCCCAGAAGAUCAGAAAUCUAUCUUCAAACCAAGCUUGUUCCCCUGCUUAUUGCAUCAUCAGACCAGGCGGCUUAAAAUAAAUAAUCUAUUCAAAGCGAACCAAUUACAAAACUCACCUUUCAACUCUUAGUUUUGGGAAAUGGACUGGAAGGACUCCUUCAAUGGUAACUUGACCAUGCUGUCUCUCUGAUGACAUCGUCUUGGAAUGCUGAUAAACUUCUUUUAGUAUACACUUUAGGGAGAAGACAGUUGUCUAAAUUAAUGACAAUCCUUGACAGUUGUGAGCUUUUGUGUCUGGUGGACUGGAAUCCUUUCCUAACUCAAUCACUUUUUAGUUUUGUAAUCUUGAGCAAUCCUUUAGCCUUUUUGAGGCUGCCUCAGUUGGCAAGGUGGGAGAAAUAACACUUAACUUGAAAGAUUUGGGGGGAGCAUAGGAUGAGAUCAAUGUAUGCACUGGUUCUUUUCUUUCCGUCUUCUCUUUAAAGUUCUUAUGAAAUUAUUUUGGCCACAAAAUUAUUAAUAAUACUUUAUAGGCAGCAAAUGACACAGCUGUUCCCCCAUUAUAACACACACCAUCCUCCAGUUACUUGAUAUUCUUCACCUAUUUUCCUGCUUCCCUUAUUCUGGAAAAAAGAUCGUACACACUUUAUGUGGACAGAAAACAGUUUCUCCUAUGAAAACCAAAUAAAAAAGAAAAGCAGAACGUAACGUUUAUUUUUGGCCAAUUACUAAAUUUUAAAAACCUUCCCUCUUUGAUUUCAUGAAGGUUUUCUAGUGUUCCCUUUAGCUUGUGUCUGAUAUGGAGUCUGGAUCCCUUUCUCUGUCUUUUUCUUGCAUGUCUAAAUCUCAUUAUAGCUGGCUCUAUCACCAUGACCUGAGCCACCCUGAGUCUGGACUGACUGCAUCAGGCAGUAAACAGGCCAAGAUCUUUCUGGUCAGAGCUUGGCAGCACGAAUUUAGGAAGAUGCCAACAUUGUUGCCAAAUGGAUGGCUCAUAUUUUCCAUCUUUGUCUUUGUGGAUGCCAGUCAUGUGUUCCCUGUGGUGCCCAAAUUGUGCAACAGACACUGGAGGCUCUGCGCCAGCACAAGGGCCUCGGAUGGGGUUAGGCCUUCCUGAUGGGCAUAGGCCUGGAUUGAGCCAGUGGAUAUAUGUUCAGCCUGAAUAAUCAGCUAUGGUGGGCUAGACAAAGGCUUGGCUGGGUAUAUGAAAUCAGAAGCGAAGGCUGAGAGCGGCCCUAGGAAAGGAAAGAUGGGAUGGGUCAGAAGGGGGAACUUGGGUUGGCACUGAUUGUUGAGGUGGGUAUGGCCACCAGGCUGGGCUCAGAAGGAUAGAAGUUGAGGAGUCAGGUAAGGCCACAGCUUGGAUAUAGCUAAAGACAAUAACUAAGAUCAUUCCAGAUGCUUCUCAAGGGAGAUGUGGUGCUGAUGGAGGCUUCCAUUCACUGAAGCAUGGCUUAGAGUUUCUCCCAGCAGCUCCGCUAUGGGGAAAUCAAUCUACCUGUUUUCUCUAAGACCUGGUGUGCAGUGGGCCAGGGCAAGGAAAGGGGGAUACUGGUUCCAUUGGAACAAAAGCUGAGUAUUCUUUGGGUCAGGGCCACUGAGUCUGGGUAAGCAGUGCUGUCUCCUGAGCUGGACUCUGAGGGAAUCUAGAUUUCUAUUCAUUCUUAGGGCUUGGAGAAAGGUCCCUGCCAUGCGAUAUCUAAUCAGAAUGUGGAUAUGAGAAAAUUAGUGAUUUAGGAAAAGUGUUCUUCAAUUUACAUCUGUAUCCAUGUGAGAAGGAAAGAGGAAGAGGAAGAGGAAGAAGAAAAAGUAGAAGAAGGAGAAGGAGGAGGAGGAGGAAGAAUCACUGUCCUAGAGUAUAUCAACAAUUGUGAAACCCCUAAAUCAAUUUAUUAGCCCCAGAUCUGGAGCUUCUCUUGACCUGUAGUUGGUCCCUCCACCUGGUUUGUGGCUUAUAGAACCCUAGGGAUGGCAUAUAGUGGUCAGGGGGAGGAGAGCAGGUGAAUGAUGGGGAGGCACUACCAUGAGAUCUUCAGCCCCCUGUUGAAGGGGUACAUAUCUCUCAGGACGCCCCAACAUCUUCCAGAACUCUUUCCAGAACUUAUUCUGAAACUCUUCUGAGUCCUCUAAGCAUCCCUAGGAAGGACGUUUCUGGUCUAGAUAGCAGGUGAGAUCCUUCCUUUGCUUUAGAGAAAUGAGGUCAGGAAGCUUCUAUGACCUCUUUGGUAGUAAUGUCCACACAGAGAGUAAAACGAGGUUGUUGGAUUGCAGGAGGCAGGGCUUGGAUGUCCUGGAAGAGUGCCACAUCUUUCCUUAGAGCUGCUUUUUGUUCUGAUACUGAGGUGGCCAUCACUGGCCCCAGACCCUGUGGCUCAGCCACGUCCCAACAAAGUGUCAUUCUAGAGGGAGAGACGGCCUUCCUGAAUGACUACAUUCUAGUUCCUGAAGCCUGCCCUUGACUUUUUCUUGAUUAACUUCCCUGAGACUUUAGGAACAUUAUAUGCACUAAGUACAUAAAUUAAAAGUCUGCAUGUAAUAGUCUCUUAAUAGGCAAAUAAGUCUUAGUCCCAAAAUGGAAAAAUAUUGCCCUACAGUACGUCUGAAAAAAACACACAAGCAAACCUGAGCCUAAACCAAACAAAUAAACACCCUUGGCGUCUUCAAACUUUGCUAUAAACAAACAAGAGACCUUGCAAUUCUCAGCAGAAAUGUCUUGUGCACAUCAAAGCAAGAUAUAGGUGCUUAAAGCUUGUCAUGGGUACUGUAAUACCUUCUGGAUGUGAGGCUACGUGCAAUGUAGGGUGAGGGGAAAUGUGUAAUAUCUGUGGCCCAGGCGAAAAUGACCUCAUCUAUCUGUAUCAUCUCCACCCACAAAGCGCUUCUUAGAUUGAAUUAUCCAGGUGAUUGCUUUAUCUCUCCACCAUGCAUUCCACAUAUAAAAUUAUCUUAACAUUAAACACUGUGCCAUUCUUAAAAAUGGAACCCAAGCUCUUAUAGCAUUUUACAAAUCUAUAGUUUGAUUUGUACUUCCUAGAAUUAUUUUUUUAUAACAUCGCUUUUUAAAAAAUUCUCAAGAGUGUUGAUUUGCGAGGCUGAGCUCCCUCAGGAAUAGACUGACCUCCAGCAACUGUUCAUUCCACCCCUAGUAGGAGCUUGAAUAAUGACUGAGUGACAAAGUGUCCCAUUCAGUUAUUAUUCAACUAUAUUAAAUUGCUAAAGUUGGUAAUUGGAGCAUAUCUUAUUACAAAGGCAAAAGUUCAACAUUUUUCCCCAGGCACAAUAGGCUUGCACAUUUGAAAACUUCUGGUCUGGUAAGGAAUAAGAUGUCAGGGCAUGGAGCAUGCAACAAAUUAAACAGGGGAAAAUAUAUUAGCCAAACCCAGGCACAAUUACCAAGCAUUACUUUGAAGAUAUUUACCAAUCUCAAGCUCUUUUAAUAGGGAUGGGAGAGAUAAAGUAGAAGGGGAUCUUGAAAAUAAAUCAGUAUUCCUAAGCUCUAGGAGGCUGACACAAUUGAAAACUGUCAUUUAAAAUAUACUGGGGGCUAAUAAUAGAAGGUAAGUACAGGUUAUUUACAACCUACUGUUUAUCCACAUUGGUUGGCACUCAUGCUGUAUCAAUUAUUGAAUAUUUUGAAAUCUGAUUUUAUUAAAACUCAUUUGGAUCUACAGUUAUAGGCUAUGUAUUGGAAGUAUCAUUUGGGGUCUGACUGAGAUGUCCAAGUUUUUCUAAAAUGGUACUGCACAGAAGGAGCAGUUUUACUGAGACAAUAGGAGCUUUGGGUACCUGUGUGAAUGUGGUCACACCAAGUUACUGCUUCAAAGAACAAGAAACGAAUGCUGUGAGAACUGCAGAGACCACAGCCUAUAGUGGUAUUCCCCAAAUGGGCCUGAUCAGAAGACUCAUUUGGGGGCAGUUGUUUAAUAAUUUAGAUUCCCAGGUACCUUCUCUGGAGAUUAUGAUUACUAGGUCUGUCUAGGGGAGGCCUAGGAAUCAGUAUUUUUGACAGUAGUCCCAGUGAUUCUUUUGAUAAGACAAAUUUGGGAAACAACUAUUGACAUUCAUAAUGCUACCAUUCAUUCAUUAUUUUAAUUAUUUCACAAUUACUGUGGUAUUUUUCAAAUAUGAACCUAGAUUCCCCACAUAAAAUCACCUGGGCUGUUUGAUUAAGAUCCUGGGCUGCAGCCCCAUUCCAAACCUACCAGAUAGAUCUCCAGGGAUAAGAUCCAGAAAUCUGCAUUGUAAAUGAGCCUCCCAAGUGAUUCUUAGGUAAUAAAGUUAGGGAAUACUUGCAGUGUGUGUCAAGCACAUCGUAUGUUUCUUCAAGGUGUCCAUUCUCAGUCAAUAGGCAACAACCACUUCAUUUAAACACCUACUAAGGCAGGAAUCAGUGAAUGACUUGUGUAGAGGUGAUGUAAAGUGUGAAGGGAGAGUGGCAGCUCUUCCUGCUUUAAACCAGCCAUCCACAGGCUUGUGAAAGCAAGAAGGGAGGCUACCCUUCAGACAGAGUGGCCAGGUUUUGGGGCACACGGGAGAGGCAAGUGAGGCCCAGGCCCUUUAAGACUCUGGAGUCUGUGGAUGUGGCCAACCAAUGCCUGGCUGGACCCAAAAACCCCACGACCUCAGGGUCAAGGGCUAGGGCACUGGUGAGAGCUCUCACUCGGAAUUUCCUGCUGGAGUGCUAGACCUGCAGCACAUAAAUAUACUUUACUUUUCUUUCUUCUCCCAUUUCCUUAGUUUUGUUUGUGGAACAGUAUUGGAGCCUUCCCAGGCAUUGUUUCAUUCUGACACCAUAACAAGGUCUGCUCCCUAUUCACUUUCUCAGUCAGAAGCCUGUGGAGUGUUCAUUGUUCCUGUGGAUUUUUACUGAUGCACAAUUGUGUUUAAAAUAACUUGUCCGAAGUACGUCUGGAAAAUAAUAAGUACAUUUAUUUUAAGUAAAUGUUGGCAGGUGAUUCCAAUUCUGAUUUUCUUUGAUUGCUCAUGCAAAUGAAAAUUUAGGUGAAUGCCCCUCUGGUUUCAAAUGGUAAGAGUAACAAUAACAGUAAUAAAUAAGGUACUCAAGAACUUUGAGGGAUUGUUAACUCUAGCAUAGGAUUUUGAGUAAAAAAUCGGAAUGGACCUCAAUUUCCUCAUCUGUAAAAUGGGAAUCAUAAGACCUGCCAUAGCUACCUUACUGGGUUGCUGAAAGUCCAGUAAGUCUAUAGUAUUGAUGCUUGGUGAACUAUAUAUAAACUUUUUACUUUACACACACAUUGGUUGUUGGUUUUAAUAAUUUUUUUUCUUGAUACUUUUUUGCCCUCUGGCUUUAGAUGUCAUUGAAACAUUUUUACACAGCAUCAGUCAACCUAAAAUAAAGCAUUGAAAACUCACAGGAAUUUGGGUAAAAUUUGCUUAUCAUUGCAAUUCCCUCCAUUACAGAGAAAAUUGCUUGCACCAAGAUAUUUUAUUUGUUAAGGUCUGAGAAGGCGGAAGUAUGAUCCAAAUAGCAAAGGUCCCAGUGGCAAAUGAAAGGCACUUGGAAACUAUGGUGCAUUGUUCUGUUCUUCUGGAAGGCAAAACACUGCCGGGACGAGGACGGAGCCAUUCCAAGUGGGUGAUGAAAUUUACUUUAUUGACAUUAUCAAUAAGGAUGUAUUUAUGGGAAACAAACAUGAAGUAUAGCUCACACUUACAGGAUUUGGCAGAUGAGGAAACUGAGGCACAAAAAGGUGAAGUCCUGAGCUCACAGUCAUGCAACCAGCAGGUGGUGAAACACACCUCCAAGCUGCCUGCCUCCUAAGCAUCAAGCUUUGUGGCCCAGGAUCUACUUCAUGCUCCAAAUAUUCAUGGACCUUCCCAGGACCUCAACAAAACAAAACCAUGAAGAAAAACCUUGACAUGAACCCCAAAAAAACCCAGUCAGCAAUAUUUUAAGUUAAAUUUUGAAACAAAUCCAAACGGGUUCCUCCCCAUAAAUCUACCAGUAAAUUGUGCAGAAUCAGAACUGAAGCCAUGCCCUUUCUUAAAGUAUUGAAUUAGAAUAAAUGAGAACAUCUAAAUAUUUUCCAAAUUCAUAUUCCAGUUAUAAUAUUCAAGUUUCUUAGUUUCUCUCUGUUCACAUUCAACAUGAAAUAGUCCCAUUAGUCAGUAGCAAGAGCUGCAACAUUUCUACAGGUACUAAAGGAUGUGAUCAGAGCAGGGAAGAUGGCCAACAAGAUGAUGCCACUCUAGCGGGUGCCCAUCCAAAUCAUAACCCAUGAAUACUGCGGCUUUAUUAUCUUGGACAACAGAAAGCUGAUCUUGUAAUUGGAUGAUCACCCCUGCUUGCAUGCUUUCGAGUAGUUACGUAUGACAAAAGGAGCUACUGGUUUUGUGAUGAUGGGUUUCUGGGUAAACCCUAGAUGCAGAAGCAGCUUUUAAGCAUAGCAGAGCAAGAGUCAAAUGGUUCUGAAAAAAGUUUUAACUCUGAGAUGACUUCUCCCCGCUUCUUUCACUCUACCCUCUCAAUCCUAGAGCAAGUGAGCAGAGUAGGUAAAGCUGUUUCCUCCAGAAAGAUGAUCCAUAUUUUAAACAGCUCUGUGAAUGGGGCACUAAGACUCAGAAGAUCUGGUUUUCAGUUCGCAUUCUGCCUUUAACUGGUCUUGAAAGUUUGGGCAACUCAAUUAUCUCAUGGAGUCAGUAUUUGCAUCUGUACAGUGGGGAUAUGAAUACCUGUCUUACCUACACGGAGCUGUAAGAGCAACAGAAUGUGAGCUGGCAUGAUGUUAUUAUAUGUAUCACCUUGGUUAUUUUAAAACAUGCUUGAUGUAUUAGCCUCUCUGUUUCCUCUUGAGUUUUCCUGCAGAGAUGUCUUUUAAACCAAGCAUCACUCUCCCAAUCAGAGACAGGGCUAACUAGAUAGACAAAUGAGAAAGAGAAGUCGGGGAUGGGAUGGGAGCACAGCCAAUGCAGAAACAGUCAUGUGUAUUCUUCUAGACAGGUGAGCAGAGACAUUUUCAGGAUUUCAGGGGGGCAGGAUGGAGACAUGGGGGAAGCUUCUGGGUCAGUUCUUGAUGGUGUGGCUUCAGUAUGUAGAUGCACACAUUCUCCUCUAAGUCGAAAAGAAUAUACUGGGGGUUUCCAUUCUUUUGGAUUUUCCAGGCUUCUAACGACCUCCACCAUUCCCAGUCCAGAGGAGGUCAUGGGAUGAUAGAAAGUGGGAGCAACCAGGGCAUGUGCCUUUUCAUUUCGCAGUGGAGGGGCUGAGGCUUGGAAAGAGGGCCUGGCUUAGGGAAUACAGACUUCAGCUCAGAAAAUCUAACAGGAAUUCUCUUCUGUGACUGCUAGACAGGCUUGAAACUACUUAGCAAUAUUCUGAUUUUUUUUCUCUGCAAUAUCAAUAAGGGUAAGCACCCAGUGCCUUCUGGCAGCACCCCCAGAAGCUGCCACCUACAGGACUCCCUUCCCUGCUGGCCGGCCCAUGGGCACCCUGUGAGGUGAGCCAGGGCUGCUUCCCAGCAGAGGAAGGCCGAGCCACCAUGCAGCCCUGAUUUGUCUGUAUGAAGGGGCAGAAAUUGAUGGCCCACACAGCUCGAGCUUUUGCAUUUGCGAGAGAAAAAUGUCUUCGUAAAAACAACAAGAACAGCAGCCUGAAAUAAAAGAAACAAAUGGCAUCCAGUCAGAGCCCAGGUUCCCUUCCAAACCCACACCCACACACACCCCUGCGCCUGUUUCAUGCUUCUCAGCAUGAGGCGCUGCCUCCAGUGCUUCUUUCAAAAUACUGCUGAGAAAGUGCCACAGGACUGUCACGUCGACAAACUGUUCAGUCCCCCGUUUGAAGCUGAGAGGUGCCAGGCAGAAACUGGGUUCAAUUAGACAUGAUGGAAAAAGGGAGAGGCCCUCCCUGGCCCUCGCUCAGGCCCCUGAGGUGUGCAUUACAUCUGGCACAAGAAUUGCCCAGAAGGGAGGCCCUAGGCUGCCUAGCGGUUCCCAGGUCUUCUGCCCCACUAUCAGCUUCUCCCUUGCUUCUGCCUAAGCUAUCAGGAGCCUGCAGGCAGCCUGGACCUUGGGGCUUGCACACAUGAGCUUCAGGUCUGAUUAGAAAGGAAGCUGGGCUCCUUCUUCUUUUCUACUGAGGCCUGUUUGGAGAGCAUCCUGGCCAACACAUGCGUAGGGGAUCACAAUGCAUUACUUAGAAUCCCUCCAUCCUGGCUUGUGCCUCAAGUCCUUCCCUUCUGUUUCCACACGCCCAUGCACGAUUUUUUAGACUUGAAGAAAAUUAAUUUGUAUUUAUAACUAAAAGGAUACAGCACUUAUAAGUGCAAUGGUCAGUAUUUUUUUCUGCCUCAUUUUCUAUCCGAUAUUUUCUGUGAUGAUUUGACUUUUAUUUGUAUAUUAUAAAAAGCAUCUACUGGGCCAGGUGUGGUGGCUCAUGCCUGUAAUCCCAGCACUUUGGGAGGCUGAGGCGGGCAGAUCACUUGAGGUCAGGAGUUUGAGACCAGCCUGGCCAAUACGGUAAAACCUUGUCUCUACUAAAAAUACAAAAAUCAACUGGGUGUGGUGGCAGGCGCUUGUAAUCCCAGCUGCUCGGGAGGCUGAGGCAGGAGAAUCGCUUGAACCUGGGAGGUGGAGGUAGAAGUGAGCCGAGAUCACACCAUUGUACUCCAGCCUGGGCAUCACAGUGAGACUUUGUCUCAAAAAAAAAAAAGCAUCUACUGUGUGUCUCUGAAUUUCUUAAUAAGUAUUUGCAAAACAAAUCAUACAUUUCAGCUUGCAAACUAAAAAAAAAAAAAAAAAAGGGCAAUAUGUGCUGGAUUAGUUAAAUGGAAAUGGCCAGCCUUCAGUAAAACAAAUGCUUAUUAAGCACCUACUAUUUGCCAGUCCCUGUGGGAGAACACAAAGAUGUGGAGACACAAAGAUGAAAAGGCACAUGCCUGCCUCCUAAAAGUUUAAGUUAUCCUCAAACUUCCACUCGAUGUGAGAACACAAAUGAUUCUUAACAGUGUUUAAUUCCCAAAUGAAUUUUUUAGAGGAAUGAGGAUGUGUGAGUAUCUGUAUACAUCUAUACAAGUGUCAGGGAUCUAAAUGUGUAGCUGGCAGCAUUUAGAAAAGAACAGGCUAGAUGCAGUGGCUCUUGCCUGUACUCUCAGCACUCUGGGAGGCCAAGGUGGGCAGACUGCUUGAGCCCAGGAGUUUGAGACCAGUCUGGGCAACAUAGCAAGACCCUCUCUAGACAAAAAAUUAAAAAGUUAGCUGGCAUGGUGGUGCACACCUGUGGUCCCAGCUAUUUAGGAGGCUGAGGCAGUAGGAGGACCUGGGAUGUCGAGUGUAACAAGGCUACAGUGAGCCUUGAUUGCGCCCCUGUACUCCAGCCUGGGUGACAGAGUGAGACCCUGUCUCAAAACAAACAAACAAAAACAAAAUAAAAGAAGAACAAAUCCACUUUACCCAACUACAAGCUGUAAGCUCUCACAAUGCUCAGGUCUAAGUACAUGAUGUAUUUAUUUCCUAGAUACCUACUGUGAAGUGUGGAACAAAGCCAAGUUCUAUUACAUAUUUGAAAAAUCCAGGUGACAGGAAGAGGAUACAAAGAUGGAGUAAGCUCCCCGUGUCACCUCGUGGGAGGUAGAAGGGAUCAGGGUAGGGAGUUAACAAGAAAACUAAGAAAGGGAUGAUGAGACUGAAAUGGAAAAGUAGAUCAGUGAUUGCCACAGUAGAGUGUAAUAAAAGCAAUAUAAGAUCUUCUCUUUCUAUUUAUGUUCGUUAAAAAAUAAAAGACAUUAGGCUUGACUACCAUUUAACAGAUUGUCCGUAGUACAUGUGUAUAAUGUGUGUGUGUAUAAACACGGUGUAAGGAGCCUGACUGUCUGAGAUUGUAUUGUGCCGAGCCUAAGUUAGCCACAUGGAUGGACAGAAGCCAUGUGGAGGAGCACCAAGGCACCACACAGGUGUGGGAAUCCUCCUUAGAUCUUGUAGCUCAGCUAGCCACCACCUGACUAUAGCUGAGCGAGUGACCCAGCCAUCCUCACUGGAACAGAAGAGCCAGCUGAACCCUGCCUGAAUUCCUAUGCCACUGAUUAUGAGAAGGAGUAAAUUAUUGUUUUAAGCCA
Molecule: long non-coding RNA, 16917 nt
Organism: Homo sapiens (human)
Lineage: Eukaryota; Metazoa; Chordata; Mammalia; Primates; Hominidae
Product: long independently transcribed non-coding RNA 3134
Exons: 3
Source: RefSeq, a predicted model, not a curated record